Molecule: unclassified non-coding RNA, 922 nt
Filed under: Hevea brasiliensis (rubber tree)
Lineage: Eukaryota; Viridiplantae; Streptophyta; Magnoliopsida; Malpighiales; Euphorbiaceae
Source: RNAcentral
AAGCAUCUUAUCAUGAAUCUCAGGUAUACGACAUAAUAAUGGUUUGUUUCAUGGUGUGGCUUACAUUGUAGCAUGGUUUUUGCUGUCUUAUUUUCUUGUUUUCAUUCAGCAAAUGAUUAUCAUCCAAUCCCAACCCAAAUGUAAAUGGAAGGGCUAAUAGGUUCAUAUAUCAGAAUUUUUAGUUUUAUCCAAUUCUUCUAAUUUUAUCAAUUGUAUAUAUACUAGACUUUAUAAUUGGUAGCAAUGGAAUUUUGGGUAGAAAUCAUACCACAAAAUAUGUCCACUCAGAGCCACAGAAUUGACAUGCCAAAAGGCCAAAACAGUUGCUUUAACUGAAUAUGAUUUCAACUGUUGACUAUGGCCUACUUGAGCCUCUCUAACCCUGUCAAUCCUCUGUUGUCUUUCUCUCUCUAGUAAGACGUAGCUUUUUUGAUGGUUACACAACUUAAGAGUUAGAUUCCUGUCAAAUAUUUCAAGUCAAACUCAGCCUGCUUAGCCUUGUUAACAUAUGAAUCCAGCCUCUAUUGCGAUGAUUGCUACCACUGAAUAUGUUUGCUACCAAUUAUCAAGAAUGACUGAAUGAGAUAAAAUUGAUAAUCGGAGUUGAAAUUCUUUUAAAGUUCAAGGUUUAUGGCCAUCAGCCCUAAAGGAAAAUACAACUGAUCAUUGUAAUUUUCAGUUGUGCGCUUGCUUUUGAACUGUGCCUUAUGAAGGCCACACUACUUCAGUAGGUUAAAGAAAUGACUGUUGAUUAUUCUUAUUCUGGCAGUUUUAUCAUCUUGUGGAACUAAAAGCACUUGGGCCCGUGCUAUUUAUUCGCCAUUGUGUAAAUGAGAUUAGUCCUCUGAAUUUCUUUAUGAUAAUGGACAUGCCAGAGGACUCUGCCUUUUUAAGUUCAGAUAAUUUCAGGGCUAGUGUGCUA